AUUAUUAUAGUGUAAAUUAGGCACAGCUAAUUUCCAAUUAGAAAGUAGAUAGUAAUA
Molecule: transfer RNA, 57 nt
Filed under: Trichuris rhinopiptheroxella
Lineage: Eukaryota; Metazoa; Nematoda; Enoplea; Trichinellida; Trichuridae
Description: tRNA-Gly
Source: RNAcentral